Molecule: ribosomal RNA, 253 nt
Filed under: uncultured bacterium
Lineage: Bacteria
Description: partial 16S ribosomal RNA
Rfam family: Bacterial small subunit ribosomal RNA
Source: RNAcentral
UACGUAGGGUCCAAGCGUUAUCCGGAAUCACUGGGCGUAAAGCGUGCGUAGGCGGUUUGUUAAGUGAGAUGUGAAAUCGUGUGGCUCAACCGUAUCGUUGUGUCUCAUACUGGCAAACUAGAGGAUAGCAGAGGCAAGUGGAAUUACGAGUGUAGCAGUGAAAUGCGUAGAGAUUCGUAGGAACACCAAUGGCGAAGGCAGCUUGCUGGGCUAUUUCUGACGCUCAGGCACGAAAGCGUGGGGAGCGAACAGG